UCCAGACUCCUACGGGAGGCAGCAGUGGGGGAUAUUGCACAAUGGGGGGAACCCUGAUGCAGCGACGCCGCGUGGGUGAAGGAGCGUUUCGGCGCGUAAAGCCCUAUCGGCAGGGAAGAAGGAGGACGGUACCUGACUAAGAAGCCCCGGCUAACUACGUGCCAGCAGCCGCGGUAAUACGUAGGGGGCAAGCGUUAUCCGGAUUUACUGGGUGUAAAGGGGGCGCAGACGGCAGCGCAAGCCAGGAGUGAAAGCCCGGGGCCCAACCCCGGGAUUGCUCUUGGAACUGCGCGGCUGGAGUGCAGGAGGGGCAGGCGGAAUUCCUGGUGUAGCGGUGAAAUGCGUAGAUAUCAGGAGGAACACCGGUGGCGAAGGCGGCCUGCUGGACUGCGACUGACGUUGAGGCCCGAAAGCGUGGGGAGCAAACAGGAUUAGAUACCCCUGUACA
Molecule: ribosomal RNA, 448 nt
Filed under: uncultured bacterium
Lineage: Bacteria
Description: bacterial SSU rRNA
Rfam family: Bacterial small subunit ribosomal RNA
Source: RNAcentral